CGAAAUCGGUAGACGCUACGGACUUAAUUGGAUUGAGCCUUGGUAUGGAAACUUACUAAGUGAUAACUUUCAAAUUCAGAGAAACCCUGGAAUUAAAAAUGGGGCAAUCCUGAGCCAAAUCCUGUUUUCCGAAAACAAACAAAGGUUCAAAAAGACAGAAUAAAAAAAAGGAUAGGUGCAGAGACUCAAUGGAAGCUGUUCUAACAAAUGGAGUUGGCUGCGUUGCAUUAGUAAAGUAAAGGAAAGGAAUCCUUCCGUUAAAACUCCAGAAAGGAUAAAAUAAAGGAUAACCCUAUAUUCAUAUGUAUACGUAUUCAAAUAAUUCCUAUGUAUACGUAUUCAAAUACUAUCUCAAAUGAUUAAAAUGAUUAAUAGGGGCCGAAUCCAUAUUUUUUUUUUUUUUAUAUUUAUAUGUUAUAUGAAUUUUUUAUAUUUAUAUGAAAAAUGAAAUAAAAAAAAUGGUUUUGAAUUGAUUCCAAGUUGAAGAAAGGAUUGAAUUUUAAUUGAUCAAAUCAUUCGCUCCAUAGUCUGAUAGAUAACUGAUUAAUCGGACGAGAAUAAAGAUAGAGUCCCAUUCUACAUGUCAAUAUCGACAACAAGGAAAUUUAUAGUAAGAGGAAAAUCCGUCGACUUUAGAAAUCGUGAGGGUUCAAGUCCCUCUAUCCC
RNAcentral lists this non-coding RNA (666 nucleotides) under Jatropha gossypiifolia (bellyache bush). Its description in RNAcentral is "partial transfer RNA-Leu". The stretch from base 20 to 197 matches the Rfam family "Group I catalytic intron", at positions 5 to 158 of the family's 253-position model. Lineage: Eukaryota; Viridiplantae; Streptophyta; Magnoliopsida; Malpighiales; Euphorbiaceae. The record is from RNAcentral.